UCUGUCAUAGGGUUGAGAUUCUGAGAAAUCCACAAUGUGAUUAUCCUAGAGGACUCGGAUCCAUAAAUAUAUAUUCUCAAUUUAUCCAAAUAUUGUGUCUGUUCAUAAUCAGUUGCAAUUAGAAUUUGAAUUUGUAAAAUAAAUAAGAUUCUUAAGCACAUUUAGUCUCUAAAGAUUCCAAAUUUCAAGCCAAAUAUUCACCUGAGCAUUAUAAGGGAUGUAAUUAGAAAUAAUUUUUAUUAUAUAAGUAGUAAAUUUUGUUGUUAGGAAAACGUAAUUGAAAUAUAUAAAUUUAUAAUUGUGGUCAUACGUGUAAAAUUAAAUUAAAAAGUUAAGUAGGAAUAUUGUGUUUGGACGGGUAAGAGUAUUUCUUUAAUAAGUACCUUCAAAUUUAAGUGUAAUGCAAUAUAAAAAUGUUUAUGUUUAAUUCAUACAGUACUUAACAACUAAGCAUAACAGUAUAGCACAUAUAUAGAGAUAGAGAAGAGUCAAACAUGAACGUGGAGACUAAAGAAUUACACGGCCUAUAUAUAUAUAUAUACAUAGC
Molecule: long non-coding RNA, 547 nt
Filed under: Panax ginseng (ginseng)
Lineage: Eukaryota; Viridiplantae; Streptophyta; Magnoliopsida; Apiales; Araliaceae
Description: long non-coding RNA (PGIN_LNC007993)
Source: RNAcentral